AGCGAUAUAACCUAACGGUCUCCAGUCCCGUUUCACAACGAGGCAGUAAAAACACCACACCACUGCGCCGAGUUUGCGAUCGAGAGAGAGAACGAUCUGGCGAGCUCGGGCGAGCGCAUUCGAAAACCCUCUUCCAGUGAAUCGCUCGCUCAUCGGAUUUGGGGGCAUUGAGUUUUCGGUUGGAUUUUUUUUUGCUUUCUUCCCUCCUUUUGGGGACCAGUGUGUUCAGAGCGAGGAAGACGAAGGAAGGGACAGAGCAAAGCUGCGAGGAGGUGUUAAAAAAGCCUGGCCUGUGCUCUGCUGGGCAAUGGUCCUGGCCGGCAUGCGUGUGGCUUUCAAACCCAGCACAUCAAACAGGUGAUGAAUGAUCGAUCGAAAGAGCUUUUGUCUUCCUCUUUUUUCCUCUCUUUCUUUCCCCCUUUUUUGAUUCACCGAUCCGUCUGACCGGACGAUUUCUCUGCAACCAGGGGAAUUCCUUGCAGGGAUAAGCUUUUAACGAGCCCUUGAUCGUCCGUUUUGGGUUGCCAGCAGUGUGUAAUCCUCUCUUUCUCCCUCUCGCGCGAUGGUAUCCUCCUAUCCUUCUUCGCAUUUCUACUUCGAGCACGAAAGAUCCGCGCUGCCCAUCAGCAGGGCUCGCGUCGUUUGCCCCUUUUGAGCGUAAAAAAGCG
RNAcentral lists this long non-coding RNA (668 nucleotides) under Selaginella moellendorffii. RNAcentral's name for it is "long non-coding RNA (SMOE_LNC002449)". The record is from RNAcentral. Lineage: Eukaryota; Viridiplantae; Streptophyta; Lycopodiopsida; Selaginellales; Selaginellaceae.